AUGAACGCUGGCGGCGUGCCUAAUACAUGCAAGUCGAGCGAACGGACGAGAAGCUUGCUUUUCUGAUGUUAGCGGCGGACGGGUGAGUAACACGUGGAUAACCUACCUAUAAGACUGGGAUAACUUCGGGAAACCGGAGCUAAUACCGGAUAAUAUUUUGAACCGCAUGGUUCAAAAGUGAAAGACGGUCCUGCUGUCACUUAUAGAUGGAUCCGCGCUGCAUUAGCUAGUUGGUAAGGUAACGGCUUACCAAGGCAACGAUGCAUAGCCGACCUGAGAGGGUGAUCGGCCACACUGGAACUGAGACACGGUCCAGACUCCUACGGGAGGCAGCAGUAGGGAAUCUUCCGCAAUGGGCGAAAGCCUGACGGAGCAACGCCGCGUGAGUGAUGAAGGUCUUCGGAUCGUAAAACUCUGUUAUUAGGGAAGAACAUAUGUGUAAGUAACUGUGCACAUCUUGACGGUACCUAAUCAGAAAGCCACGGCUAACUACGUG
Molecule: ribosomal RNA, 496 nt
Filed under: uncultured bacterium
Lineage: Bacteria
Description: partial 16S ribosomal RNA
Rfam family: Bacterial small subunit ribosomal RNA
Source: RNAcentral